GGUUUUGUUGCUGGUAAAGAUCAGCAGCGGCACCAGCGCCAGCGCAAUACCAAAACUCAGCAGCACCUGGCUCAUGACCAGAAUUCGCGUUGGGUCGAGUCCCAUCAGAAUCACCA
Molecule: transfer RNA, 116 nt
Filed under: Enterobacter sp.
Lineage: Bacteria; Pseudomonadati; Pseudomonadota; Gammaproteobacteria; Enterobacterales; Enterobacteriaceae
Also listed under: 5 other names
Description: tRNA-Met
Source: RNAcentral